This 468-nucleotide ribosomal RNA is filed under the name uncultured bacterium. RNAcentral describes it as "partial 16S ribosomal RNA". It matches the Rfam family "Bacterial small subunit ribosomal RNA", at positions 28 to 507 of the family's 1533-position model. The record is from RNAcentral.
GACGAACGCUGGCGGCGUGCUUAACACAUGCAAGUCGAACGGAAAGGCCCUGCUUUUGUGGGGUGCUCGAGUGGCGAACGGGUGAGUAACACGUGAGUAACCUGCCCUUGACUUUGGGAUAACUUCAGGAAACUGGGGCUAAUACCGGAUAGGAGCUCCUGCUGCAUGGUGGGGGUUGGAAAGUUUCGGCGGUUGGGGAUGGACUCGCGGCUUAUCAGCUUGUUGGUGGGGUAGUGGCUUACCAAGGCUUUGACGGGUAGCCGGCCUGAGAGGGUGACCGGCCACAUUGGGACUGAGAUACGGCCCAGACUCCUACGGGAGGCAGCAGUGGGGAAUAUUGCACAAUGGGCGGAAGCCUGAUGCAGCAACGCCGCGUGCGGGAUGACAGCCUUCGGGUUGUAAACCGCUUUCGCCUAUGACGAAGCGUGAGUGACGGUAAUGGGUAAAGAAGCACCGGCUAACUACGUG